UAUGAAGUGAGAUAUGAAAUUGGAUUGGAACAUUCCUUACUUCAUAUUUACUUUUACUUCAUUCUAGAGAAAUAAUAGAACGGGGUUGGAGAUGCUGCCAGAAUUCUUGAAUCUCACAUCAAAAGUGCAGUUCCAAACCUCGAUUUUACAAUCUCCAAUAAAGGUUGAAUUCAUCUCCUCCGCUUCUUUACCUUUCUGAUCCAUAUAAAUGUAUCUGAAAUUGUAUUAAAAAAAUCUUAAGUUAGCAUUUAAUAUUAAACAAUACAUUUUACAACGAACUGAGAACUAGAUGACUUGGAACCUUAAACAGCGACCAGUGUCACAGUUUAUAGGAAAAAUAUCCUCUCGAUUUCUCUACACAAUUUGAGCAUUCGUUCCAGUUGUUGCUUGAUAACGUCCUCCGGUAAAUCAUGGUCAACCCCUCUCACGAAAAGCACUAUCCGGCCGCAACUACCAAUUGGAAAAAUAAAAAGUUAGUUACCGAUAAAACAUGGAAAAAGCAUUUUACUUGUUAAAAAGCCGCGCAAGAUGUAAAGCAAAAAGUAAAUAUUGUAGGGACUAAAGCAUUUUACAUGAUAUUGUCGAACAUAUAUAAUUGUAAGGACUAAAUCAAAAAAAUAAAUAAGAUUUUAUGAGAGCUCAUUAUUCACCCACUUAAAAUUUGAGGGCAUGAAGGACUGUUAGAAUGCAAAAAUCUUCAAAAAAUAAAAGGAUAAAAGCUUGUUAGAGAUGCUCUAAAUUCAAAAAAAAAAGCCAAUGUUGCUGGAGAAAAACUUCUAAUGCACAAAAGAAAGGAUUAUUACUGGAAGUUGGCCCACCUAUUUUGUAUCUCGAAGAGACUCAAACAUAAUAUAUCUACCCUAAGGAUUUGAAUAUUACAAACCGUCUUGUACUGCACCGCAAUUAACAAUAACAAAAAUAUUUACAUAUACCAUAUAUCUAUACGUUUUUAUAACUGUAAGAAUCGCACUGCAAUUGAACCGCUUGCCCCGCACCGUUCAACCCGCAGUUACCAUUCGGAGCCUAAAUCGCUUCGUCUGCCAGUUUUUUUUCCUAACGAAAACAUCAACAACUUUAACAGUCUCUUUAAAGACAUUCUUACUACCAAUAAAAUGGUAAAUUUCAUGCCAAACUAAAAAAAAUAUAGUAGAAAUUGAUAGCAUACACUUACAUAUCAUCAUCGUAUGUGCCUUUGUCCAAAUUCGACAAGUAAGAUUAUGAUGCAUAUGAUAGAUUAAUUAGCUUUAGGUUUAGCUACAAGUAUGCUUUACUCUCUUUUCUUUUAUUCUGAUUGAUCGUUGUGGAUGUUGCCACGAGGAUGACAUUCGGACCAAUUUGCUUGAAAUAGUUUGUUCAAACUUUCUAGCUCAGCUCCCAUUGUUGAUUCUCUGAAUGUGCCUAUUAUCAACCAGUGAAACUUGUAUAUAAUUAAAGAUUUAAGUGAGGUAUAUUUCCCAUUCUAUUAUGUGUCAAGUGUCAUAUAUGAUGCUGAAACUGUGAAACACCAAAAGAAAUGACAUAUUUCCGUGUGCAUUGAAUUGUUAUCACGCAUUAGUUGAAUUUGCGACCAUAUACAGACUGGGCUCAAGUUGGAUAUAGAGGCGGAUGCCCUUGGCGCUUGGGUUUUGAUUUUGCCACCAAAUUCAACUACAGACCACAGUCAUGCUCAAGGUGGUUAUGUCGUCAUAGAUUUUGGCAUAACUAUGGGUAGGACCUAGCAUCCCCUAUCUUGUAAUGCAGUUUCUUUGUUUUUGUUAUUUUCUCGAUUACUUUUAUCAAACCACAAGGUCGAACCGUAAUCUAAUACUAGUCAUUUAUAUGAAAAGACUAGAUUCUACCGUGUGGAAAAUGUUAAUCAAUGCAUAACAAUGAAUGAUUUAAAAAUAAAUUAAAGGUCUUACUUCUGUUUGGUAUUUAUAAAAAAUCACUUCAAAAAAUAUAUGGUAGGAGUUGAGAUUGACAGAGUAGAUUAGUCUAAAGUAUUUUCCACGAGGAGUUGAAAUUAACAGAGUAGAUUAAUAAUCUAAAGUAUUUUCCACGAAAAAAAAGAAUUUAUUUUCCACGAAUAAUCUUUGAUUAUUGGGUUUAAGAUCUUCUACAUUGCCUAGGACAUUCUCUUCUAGAUAAUGUUUAAAAUCACAAUACCAAAAACCAUAUAUCCUUUGAUAUUAAGCUAUCCACGUCAUUAAAAAUAUUCUUCCAAUCACAACAUUUCAUUUCGACACGUCAGACGGGCUCCUGGGCUUACGUCUAAGCUUCAAGUUUAUCUAUUAUUUAGAGUGAGUCUACGUCUGGGCUUCAUUUGUAUUACGUCUGGGCUUUAUUUUUCAUAUGCCGAAAUCUAAAAAAAUGAAAGGACCCCGACGACGGAAGUCACGAGGAUCUACCUCCUACCACUUCGUCUUCUCCGCUUGAAACCAUAGCGACUGCUUUCGUAUCAGCUCCCUCUUUUCUUCGUCUUCUACACAAUCAAUACUCCACUUAACUUCGAUCAAUUAAUUUCUUCAUUAUGAUUUCGUUUCAGCUCCCUCUUCUCCUGCUUCUUUAUAUACUCAACUUCUUUCUUUGUACAAACCUAAACCCUAGAACCGCUCUAAUCUCAAUCCAUGGCGACGAAACCAAAUGGAAAGUCCCCUGUCUCAUCUGCUUCUGAUGAAGAAGUCAUGUUCUUCAGAGAUUUCUCUCUAGGUACCCACGAAACUCAGUUGCGCUUCCGUCUGAUCCACUUCUGGGAGGCUUGGAACCCCGACGCUUAUUGGCCUGAAGAUGCUCCUCAUCGACGAAAAGGUUAUAUGAAAUCUUCAAUUUUUUUACCUUUAGUUCCAACUUAUUUAACUUAGUUCCAAUCUUCAAUCUUCUAAAAAAAUUUGGUUUUUAGUUCUCACUUAUUUAAUAAAAAACAUUGUUAGUUCCCACUUACAUAAAAUCUUCGUAAUCUAUCUGUUUAGAGAUUUGAUGAAUAUAAACGAGUUUAAGAUUACUACCACCAAUGAUCUGUUUGCUCUGUUUAAAAAAAAUGGAUGAAAAUAAACGUGUUUAGAACUUUGACCACCACUGAGGUGUUUGUUUUCUUGCUUUAUCUCUAUCUACUUCAUCGCUUAUCACUUUUUCGUUUGCAUAUAAAACAUUGUUAGUUCCCACUUAUUUAGCUCAUCGACGAACAGGUACAUGAAAUCUCCAAAACGUAGUUAUUUAGUUCCCACUUAUUUACUUCAAACCGUUCCUCACUUACUUAUUUUGGUUUUGCUUAUGUUAUUCUUCGCAGGAACUGUUAUUCAAGGAUUCAUUUCGCCAGGACGUAUUCAAAAAUAAUUGCCUAAAAUGAUGUGAGGAUCAGUUUACAAACUCGACAACUUCCUACGUGUUGUAAGUUCUGAGCUCGUGGAUUCUCGGUGGAAGGGUAAGUGUGUUUUUGCGUUAAGGUAUUUGUAUUCCUUUAAAGACCAAAAAAUAUGUUAAAAAGUUUUGGAUUCCUGAUGUCAACUUCUGACUUUAGAACUGAAGCAGACCCACUGAUAUGUAGUGUUCUUAGAGUAAGGAACUUCGAGAUUCGAGUUUGAUUCUGUCUCGAAUGAGAUAAUACAUAUUCUAUCUAAUUUGAUGAAAUUUCAAAAUUGUUUUUUUUUUUAUCUUGGAGAGUCAUAGGAAGAAAGGGCUGAAUCGACUGUGACUGUUAAUUGAGAUACUACAAGUUACAAUUGUGAGUAAAAAUGUGGUUGCCUACUUUGAGCUCAGGCUCAAUUGAGGGAGUGAAGAGAAGAGGGGAGAUGCCAUUACACAGGUUCAUCUCAAUGUCUAUGAUAUAACGCAUGUGAACAACUACCUCUGUUGGUUUGGCAUAAUUCCAUUCUGGAAUAUACAGAUCUGGUGAUGCCCAUUACUGUUUCAUUAGAUUCUGAAUUUUGGUAUGUUUGAGUCAGAGAAGGAAGCCAAGAAAGAAGUUUUCACGAAGUAUCGAGUCCAGUGGAGUGGAGUUCUUGAUACUCUCACCAAAGGUGUAGUUUCUUUUUCUGUAUUCCACCAUUACUUAACCUUUUGCGACAGUUAUGUUUUUUUAAACACGAUCUGUUCUGAAUAAUAACUUGAUUUAUGCCAACACAGUGGUGGUCUUCAAUGUA
Brassica napus (rape) is the source of this 4118-nucleotide long non-coding RNA. RefSeq lists it as uncharacterized. The record is from RefSeq and is a predicted model, not a curated record. Lineage: Eukaryota; Viridiplantae; Streptophyta; Magnoliopsida; Brassicales; Brassicaceae. The transcript is spliced from 2 exons.